This 492-nucleotide ribosomal RNA is filed under the name uncultured bacterium. RNAcentral describes it as "partial 16S ribosomal RNA". The stretch from base 54 to 492 matches the Rfam family "Bacterial small subunit ribosomal RNA", at positions 39 to 507 of the family's 1533-position model. The record is from RNAcentral.
GGGGGGGGGGGGGGGGGGGGGGGGGGGGGGGGGGGCGAACGGCAGCGCGGGGAGGGGUGGGUCGUGGGGGGGGGGAGGGGCGGGCGGGGGAUGAGUACGUCGGAAUCUACUUUUGCGUGGGGGAGCAGCACGGGAAACUUACGCUGGUAGCGCAUCCUCCCUACGGGGUGAAGAUGGGGAUCUUCGUAUCGUGUGCGAGUGAGUGAGGCGAUGCCGGAUUAGCUAGUUGUAGGGGUAAAGGCUCCCCAAGGCGACGAUCCGUAGCCGGUGUGAGGGGAUGAGCAGCCACACUGGAAGUGAGACACGGUACAGACUCCUACGGGAGGCCACAGUGGGGAAUAUUGGCCACUGGGCGCAAGCCUGAUCCAGCCAUACCGCGUGGGUGAAGAAGGCCUUCGGGUUGUAAAGCCCUUUUGUGGGGAAAGAAAAGCAGCAGUUUAAUACCCCGCUGUUGUGACGGUACCCAAAGAAUAAGCACCGGCUAACUUCGUG